Molecule: ribosomal RNA, 467 nt
Filed under: Acanthamoeba sp.
Lineage: Eukaryota; Discosea; Longamoebia; Acanthamoebidae
Also listed under: 3 other names
Description: SSU rRNA
Rfam family: Eukaryotic small subunit ribosomal RNA
Source: RNAcentral
GGCCCAGAUCGUUUACCGUGAAAAAAUUAGAGUGUUCAAAGCAGGCAGAUCCAAUUUUCUGCCACCGAAUACAUUAGCAUGGGAUAAUGGAAUAGGACCCUGUCCUCCUAUUUUCAGUUGGUUUUGGCAGCGCGAGGACUAGGGUAAUGAUUAAUAGGGAUAGUUGGGGGCAUUAAUAUUUAAUUGUCAGAGGUGAAAUUCUUGGAUUUAUGAAAGAUUAACUUCUGCGAAAGCAUCUGCCAAGGAUGUUUUCAUUAAUCAAGAACGAAAGUUAGGGGAUCGAAGACGAUCAGAUACCGUCGUAGUCUUAACCAUAAACGAUGCCGACCAGCGAUUAGGAGACGUUGAAUACAAAACACCACCAUCGGUGCGGUCGUCCUUGGCGUCUCGGUCCUUCACGGGGCCGGGGCGCGGGGGCGGCUUAGCCCGGUGGCACCGGUGAAUGACUCCCCUAGCAGCUUGUGAGA